GAUGAAGAACGUAGCGAAAUACGAUAAGUAAUGUGAAUUGCAGAAUUCAGUGAACCAUCGAAUCUUUGAACGCACAUUGCGCCCGGCAGUAAUCUGCCGGGCAUGCCUGUCCGAGCGUCAUUUCUGCCCUCGAGCGAGUCCAGCAUCUAGGUGCUGGGCCCGCCCGGCGUUGGGGCACUACGGGAAGCCCUGUGCUGUCCCCCGUAGGCCCCGAAAUGAAGUGGCGGUCCUGCCGCGGCGCCCCCUGCGUAGUAUAACAGCUCGCUUCGGGACCCGGUGGAGGCCUGCCGUCAAACCUUACUCUCUAAGUUUGACCUCGGAUCAGGUAGGGUUACCCGCUGAACUUAAGCAUAUCAAUAAGCGGAGGA
RNAcentral lists this unclassified non-coding RNA (368 nucleotides) under soil metagenome. RNAcentral describes it as "partial contains 5.8S ribosomal RNA, internal transcribed spacer 2, and large subunit ribosomal RNA". The stretch from base 1 to 120 matches the Rfam family "5.8S ribosomal RNA", at positions 35 to 154 of the family's 154-position model. The record is from RNAcentral.